RNAcentral lists this transfer RNA (76 nucleotides) under Caudoviricetes sp. RNAcentral describes it as "tRNA-Thr". It matches the Rfam family "tRNA". Rfam says of the family: Transfer RNA (tRNA) molecules are approximately 80 nucleotides in length. Their secondary structure includes four short double-helical elements and three loops (D, anti-codon, and T loops). Further hydrogen bonds mediate the characteristic L-shaped molecular structure. tRNAs have two regions of fundamental functional importance: the anti-codon, which is responsible for specific mRNA codon recognition, and the 3' end, to which the tRNAs corresponding amino acid is attached (by aminoacyl-tRNA synthetases). tRNAs cope with the degeneracy of the genetic code in two manners: having more than one tRNA (with a specific anti-codon) for a particular amino acid; and 'wobble' base-pairing, i.e. permitting non-standard base-pairing at the 3rd anti-codon position. Lineage: Duplodnaviria; Heunggongvirae; Uroviricota; Caudoviricetes. The record is from RNAcentral.
GCUGGAUUAGCUCAGUUGGCAGAGCGGUUGUUUCGUACACAACAGGCCAUCAGUUCGAUUCUGAUAUCCAGCUCCA